CAUAGGUCCCGGAGAAGGAGCAGAUUCCAUUGCGGAUGGCGGCAUCGGCGGAGAAGCCAUAUCGGGAACUGAUAAUGGGCUUGGGCUUGGGCCCAUAGGAGUAGUUGGUUGGGCCAUUGGGCUUGAAGAUGGAGUCAUUGGCAUCAUAGGUGGUGGAGUCAUGGGCAUUGGUGGUGGAGCCAUGGGCAUAGGUGGUGGAGUCAUAGGCAUAGGUGGUGGAGCCAUAGGCAUAGGUGGUGGAGUCAUCAUUGGCAUCGGAGAGCUGCGGCCGCUAGACAUCGGCGGCAUCGACAUUGAGCCAGAAGGAGCCAUCAUGGGAGAUUGAGCUAAAGAGAAAUGAAUUAAAACCAUAGGCAAUGUGACCAAAAGGAGGGCUUGUGAAGAGGCCAUGGUUAUGUGUGUUGAAUAGUGGGUGUUAUGUAAAGUGAUAUAUAGAGAGAGGUAUGUGAGUUGUAAAAGAAUGGGAGAGAAAAGUGAAGGUUCUUUGUGCUAUUGGGGAUAUAUAUUAGAGAUUAUUUGUUUUUAUUUUUGGACCGUUGGAUAUAGUGUGUGACACGUAUCAGUCGAUAGAUAGGUAUGAGAUGCUGAUUUAUUUUCCUCCACAUGUUGAAAAAAAAAAAGAGAUAGAAGAAAAUUCCAAAGUGAAAUUUCUUUGUAGGUACAGAUAGAAUAAUCAAUACACAUGAAAAUGGGACUAUUAUGAUUAUAAUGCAUUUUAUUUUCAUUCUUUAGUGGAACCAUCAAUCGGAUUCACGGGUUGGUUUUUAAGGGGGCCAUAUAUCAAAAUUAUUAGGAAUGUCAUUUAAUGGUGUUUGUUAGUCAUUAAUAUGCUAAAACGAUGAAAUUUUGAAAUGUUAGUAGACUUUUAUAACCAAGUCAAGAUAUAAUUUCAUCAGAAAAAAACAAUUUAUAUGGAAAAGGAUAAAAGACCAUAAUGCUAUGGUACAAGAGAAAAGACAAAUAGGGACCAUUUGUGUUGCAUUUGGUCACACAGGCCUAAUAAGCUCCACGGCCAAUAUUAUGUCCGCACCCACUAACCGACAUUUUUGGUUACCCCAUACUCUUUUCUUUUUUCCUCUCACGAGUACUCUUUGUCCCUCAUUUACUAUUUAUCCAUCUUUUAAAUUAUACUUUUUAAAACAAACAUGUAACAUGUUCUAUACAUAUAUAUAUAUACUUUGAUUUCGUUGUUUUAUUGUACAUUUCUUCAGCUCGUUUGAAUUUAACCGUUAUGAUCGUCCCUUGAUCAAAUGUAUUCUCUCAACUCAUUAGUUCAGGAUCCAGGAAAAUUAGAUGAAAUAGACAAAUAGUACAUGCAUCACUUGAAGUAACUAUAAUUACUAUACCGUUAAAGUAGUUGUAUAGAGAUUUCAAUAUUAUAACGUUAGGGCUCUAAAUAUAUGGGCUCAUUAUAAAUGGGCAUGUAGUCGCAUGAGGCCGAAUCCCAGCUGGCAGAGAAAUGAGCGGGAAAUUUUAUGUACAAAAUGCUCGAAACAAUGUCACACGUAGCGCACGUGCCAUUCUCCCGCCCGUUUCUCCAUUUUCCCCAAAUCUCAAAUUCUCAAUCCCUAGUUUCUCUCUCUCCCCAGAUUCACAGCAUUUGCAUUUUGCAAUGUCUGAAGACUCGGAACCGCGUCAACUCGGGAGAUCGACCGCCGGCGGAGAGCUAAUAGGUCUUGGUCUCACUGAGUCAGACGGCGAGGAGCAUUUCUAUCACCAGAAAGCUUUGGAGUUAUGUCGUCACCUACUCUUCGUUGGCCACUCAGAACUAGUUACAGAUCUUUCUUCACAAUGUACACACUUCCAAGCUUCGCCUGAGCUCGUCAAAGUUCUUUGCUCGAUUCCUAAUUCCCCUGUCUCCCUUACCGGAGACGGCUUAUCCGUGACUCUCUCGCGCGAGUUGCUCUCCGAUCCGGCCUGUUUCGCCUGUAGUUUGGGUGUGCCGGAAAAUGUUUUGUUUGAACAGAUUACGCGUUUCUCGGAUCCGAGAGCUCCCAAGCCUAAGCGAAAUGGUCUCGGGCAUAUGGGAGGUACUAACUUAGCACUUGUUUCAUUUUAGUCGUUAUCUGGCAUCUGAUUUUGUUGUUUAGUAGUCACACUUACAUAGAGAUUCUCUUCUUGAUUAUGGAUUAUUAUGAAAAAUUUCAGAAAAUGAGGAGCAAGAAGAGCUGCAGCUCAUGCCAUUGCCCAAAAGAAGCCGAAAGGAGGAACCAGAUGUAAGUAAUCUCUUUUAACAAAAAGAUGAAUUUCUCAAGGUAUAAUUCAAUUUCAAAAAUGGGGAGUUGAUUCAUUGAUUUUUUUUUUUCUAGGUGAAUGACUACUCUGUAAUGGAUAGCAGAGCUAACGACAUGACAAAUAUUGCCAAUGGGUCCAUGCUUGAGACACUGAAAGCUUUUGAAUCCCAAGCUUCGCUUUUAGUUUUAGGUAGAGAUGGUCGAGAAAUAGGAGCAUUUGACCAAAGUCCUUGGUCUGGUCCACGGACUAGAAUUUUUGGAUGCGAGAUUUUCUCCAAUGCUUGUGUGGAUGUCGAUCCUAUGCACUGCUUGGGGGAACGCAAGCAAGAUUCGCCAUCUCCUCGAGAGGUUGGAUACUGUAAGCAAAUUGAGAUUGAAGAUUUUCAAAUUGUUGAUAACCUAAGAUUAUUCGAAGACGAUGAGGAUAAAAACGAGAAGGAUUUGUUCCAUAAGGGGGAGAUACGAACUCCCGAUGUGCAGUCCGAUCCUGCUGCCCCUUCGAUGCCAUCAGAAAAUGAGUUAAAAUCUGUAUAUAUUGUAGAGGACACUGAAGAUAUGCUUGCCUUGAGUUGUAACCCAUUAAAGCAAGAGGACAACGCUGUAGACAUCUUCAGCACCCCUGUCAAAGAGCUGCCUUUGAUGCCUUCUGCAACAAUAGCUAAUCAAGAUAGAUCCUUGGUACAGAAAACACAGGAUCUGUGCAAAUUAUCGGGAAACAGCAAAGGUUACAGCUGUUCCCCUGAGAAAAAACACACCAGGAAAUGUAAAGCUAUCCAGAGGUCAAAGCAGAAUCUUAACUCCGUUCGACCUAAAGAUCAGAAGGUAGACAUUUCUUUUUUAUCUAGAGUGAGCCCCUUGCAAUUCCGUUUUUUUAUUUAUUUAAACAGCUUUCCAUGUUGCUGAAAGUACUUUUAUACCAACAUUGAGGAUUAAUCCACUAUAUUAAGAUUUCUCAUAUCUGUUGUUUAGGAUGAGUCAAAACAGAACACUUUUCCAGUUUUUGAUUCUUACACUAUUGUAGAGGAAGAAGGCUCAGGUACAUUUUCCUUACAAUUUCAUCUAUAUUCCUGAUUUUGUUGAAACAGCUUAAUUGGUUAUCGGCUAAUGAUUGGUGAAAUCCAACUGUAGGUGGCUACGGGAUUGUUUAUAAGGCAAAGAGGAAAACCGAUGGAAAAGAGUUUGCCAUUAAAUGUAUGAAACAGAAUGAUAUGUUGCUAGAUUUUUUCACUUCGUCACAUCGUUUUUGGUUGGCAAUUUGGUCUCAUGUGUUUUCCAUACAGGUCCCCAUGCUGGUGCUCAGAAAUACUAUGUUAAUAAUGAACUCCGAAUGCUGGAGCGUUUUGGGUAAGUAACAAAGUUUGAUCCGCUAAUGAACCUCCUACAUAUUUAAACCCAAAUAUCUGAAAUUGCCUAAAUGUUGGUUCACUUAGGGGGAAAAACUUUAUAAUAAAGUUUGAAGGCUGUCUUAAGAACGGAGAUUCCGAUUGCAUGAUCCUUGAGCACCUUGAACAUGACAGACCUGAUUGUUUGAGGAGAGAAAUAGACGUGUAUCAGCUACAGUUGUACGGAUACUGCAUGUUCAAAGCUCUGUCAAGUCUUCAUAAGCAGGUAAAGCAGAUGUUGGACUAAAACUUUUGAGCAUUCAUAUUUCAAUCACGCAACUAACCAGUUAUAUUGUUUUCUUUUGCAAAUGUGAAGGGUGUUGUUCAUAGGGAUGUUAAGCCAGGCAACUUUCUUUUCUCUAGGAAGAGUAGCAAAGGCUGUCUCAUUGACUUUAACCUCGCCAUGGUUAGCAUUUUUCUGGCACCCUUCUCUUAUUAAUACUUUUCUAGCAACAUUUAUUGGUUAGUGUUUUGUAUAAUAGAAUUUGAGGUUACGAAACCUGUUUAGUGCUCUUAUAUAAUAUUUAGGUCAGUGUCUACUAGAGGCACUGAAAAGCUUGAGCUGAGCUAUCACAAACGUUUGUGUUCAUAGUUUGUGUUAUGUUCCCACCCACUGAUAUUAAUUUCACUUUCCUCUGUGGCUUAAUUUAGGAUUUGCACCAGAAGCACAGGAGAGCCGGUAAACUUCUCCCCUCAUGCAUUUGGGUUGAAUUAAGUAAAACAAAUGGAAACUAAAGCUAUCCCUUAUAUGUAUAUCAGAUAAAUCAAAAGCAGCUACAGAUCUCCCAACCGCCAGCAAGAAGCAUCAUACUUUGAUUAAAUCUCCUGACACGACCAACCGAGUGACCAACAAAUCUUCUCAGAAAACUUUAGCGCCAAAUAGUCUGAAGAAAGCAGCGGGAAAGAUAAGAGCUCAGACUGACAUGAGUAGAUGGGAGAGGUUCAAUAGCCAAGGCGCGGAAGGGUCUGGCUUAACUUCGGCCAAAGAUGUGACCAGCACAAGGAACCACCCUUCAGGUGAAAAGAGGAGAGAGCCUUUGCCAUGUCAUGGAAGGAAAGAGCUUCUAAACUUUCUGCAAGAGACAAUGUCUGGUUCAAUUCCAAACCACGAAGUAUCAUCCAAAGCUCCUACAUCUAUGAGAAAACGUGUUGCUGCUCAUCCAGGGAAAGCUGAGAAACAGCUUCUUCAUCUGACCCCAAUGCCGCUGCGCUCUAAUGGUCGGCGUGAAGCAGGUGGAUUCCUGGUGUAUAAUUUGACUCUUGUUUUUUGUUUCAGAGUUUAACUUUAACCCUAAGAAAAAAAUCUGACUUACUAGGGGAUGUAAGUAAGAAGAAAGAUGGUCCUUGCUCAGGAACGAAAGGCUACCGAGCACCAGAGGUACGUCAACUGUAACUAUCGCUCACUUUGCUUAUAUGGUAGAGAGAGAGAAUGUUAGUGGGUUUAGGCUUCCGAGUUACUAGUAAAUCCAUUUAUAUAUCAUACAAAUCUUAUGCUUUGAGCUACUUAUUAGAACAUUUUAUGAUGGGAAAGCUAAUUCUCUGGGGCGGUUCUUGGCUGAAUUGGCUUGUGCAGGUUUGCUUAAGAUCUUUGCACCAAGGACCUAAGAUCGACGUGUGGUCUGCAGGAGUUACUCUAUUAUAUCUAAUGAUGGGAAAAACACCUUUUACUGGUGACCCUGAACAGUUAAGAUUUGUAAUUGACUUACUUUGCCAUCACUUCAUUGCAUUCUGUUUUCUUUCUUUCCUUCUUACAACGGCCUCUUGAUUCUCAGGAACAUAAAGGACAUUGCGCAGCUACGAGGCAGUGAAGAAUUAUGGGAAGUAGCCAAGCUGCAUAACCGUGAAUCUUCUUUCCCUGAGGUAAUAAUCGCACCUUAUCACCCUUGUAGACUCUUCUUUGCAUCGAUUGCUGCAUUUGUGUGGCAUAAUAUGGCUAUGUACACAUGGUCGGUUCUUAAAUCUAGAGAAAGAGAAGGUUGAUCUGGCUAAUAUCGCAUGCUCUGUUCUCCUUUACCGCCAGCAUUUGGAUUUAAAUAUCAAAUACUGUAAGAGGGUUUUCAGUUAUAGCGCUUUGGGUCCUAUUGCGGAAAACGGGGUAUAUAUUAUUAUAUACAUUACAUGAUCUGAUACGUUGUAUGGAUAGAUGAUAAAAAAGAGAUGAAUUCACGUAGCAAUUUUGUUUUUGCUCCAGGAAUUAUACGAGUCAAGGUACUUGAAGAGGAUGGAGCUGAGAAAAUGGUGCGAAAUCAACACAAAACGCAGAGACUUCCUAGACGUGAUUCCACGGUCGCUGCUUGACCUUGUUGAUAAGUGUUUGACUGUUAACCCAAGGCUACGAAUCGGCGCAGAGGAUGCUCUCAAGCACGACUUCUUUUAUACAAUCCAUGAAAAUGAAACCCUUAGAAAACAAAGGCUCCUAAAGCAGCAGCAAACGGGAACGCAGCCUCCAGUGGUGGCUAAUUCAGUAGGCCAACCGCUAAGCUAGAAAUCACAAAUGUAAAUUAAGUAAUAACAAAAUAUUAUAUGAAAGCUUCACUCCACAGGCCACACCACAAAUCCCAUAGUAGUAUAUGUCUAUAUGACUAGGGAACAUAUCAUAUUUGUUAUUAGAAGCAAGUCUAACUUCACUUGGGCCUUAAAUAAAUUUCGUGUUGGGAAUUGAUAUCAUUCAGUAAAAGUCCAAAAGUCUCUCGUCUGCGAAAUGGAAGAGAGUAAUGUCAAGUUUGUUUCUCACAGACUCACCCUAUGAAUUGCCGUGCAGCGUACGGAUCUUCUUAUUUUCUCUCAAUCUCUUCCUGUGACAGGAUUCUUCAUCACUAAUCUGCAACGAAUACUGGUUCACUUCCAUGGCGUCUUCUUCUUCUCGUUCCUGGAGAUACGAUGUUUUCCCGAGUUUCAGCGGUGAAGUUGUCCGCAAAUCAUUCCUCAGCCAUCUUCUGAAGGAGCUUGACCGCAAAUCAAUCAAUGCAUUUAUAGAUGAUGGGAUCGAGAGAAGCCGCCCGAUCGGCCCUGAGCUUUUAUCGGCGAUUAGAGAAUCGAGGAUCUCAAUCGUCGUCUUCUCAAAGAGUUAUGCUUCUUCCACGUGGUACCUGAAUGAAUUGGUGGAUGGAGAUCCACAAGUGCUAUAUGGAGUUUGACCAAAUGGUGAUUCCACAGCGUUGACCCUUCGGAAGUUCGAAAACAUACCGGAGAAUUUGGAAAGGUGUUUAAAGAGACAUGCGACGGCAAAACGGAGGAUCAGAAGCAAAGGUGGAUGCAAGCUCUCGUAGAUGUAGCAAAUAUGGCCGGAGAGGAUCUUCGGAACUGGUAUAAACUAUAAACCUUGUGUUAUCAUUCCAUAGUUCGUGUCGUGCAUUGACUUCGAUUGUGCUUUUAGGGCAGCUCUUUAAUGUCACAAUUUGUUAUUAGGUGUAACGAAGCCAGCAUGAUUGAAAAGAUAGCCGAUGAUGUUUCGAAUAAACUUAUCACAACAUCGGAUUGUUAUGGCGAUUUGGUGGGGAUUGAAGCUCAUUUAGAAGCAAUGAGCUCAAUAUUGUGCUUGGAAUCCGAGGAAGCUAGAAUGGUAGGGAUUUUGGGGCCUUCUGGGAUUGGUAAGAGUACCAUAGGAAGAGCUCUUUUCAGUCAACUCGCUAGCCAAUUCCAACUUUUGUAACUUAUAAAAGAACCAACCAGGAUGACUACGGCAUGAAGUUGUGUUGGGAAGAAAAUUUUUUAUCAGAGAUUCUUGGUCAAAAGGACUUGCAGAUAUACCAAUUAGGUGCGGUGGAGCAACGGUUAAAACUCAAGAAAGUUCUCAUUGUUCUUGACGAUGUUGAUGAUAUAGAGCUCCUAAAAACCUUGGUUGGGCAAACGGAAUGGUUUGGAUCCGGGAGCAGAAUUAUUGUGAUCACUCAAGAUAGGCAACUUCUUAAGGCUCAUGAGAUUGACCUUAUAUAUGAGGUGAAGUUCCCAUCUCAAGAUUCUGCUCUCAAGAUGUUAUGCCAAUCUGCAUUUCGGCAAAACUCUCCACCUAAUGGUUUAAUGGAAUUGACAGUUGAAGCUGCCAAGCUUGCCGGUAACCUUCCUUUGUGUCUCAGUGUCUUGGGUUCGUCUUUAAGAAGAAAGGACAAAAAAGAGUGGGAGGAGAUGCUGCCUAGACUCCAAAAUGGUUUGGACGGGAAGAUUGAGAAAAUAUUAAGAGUCGGCUACGAUAGAUUAGAUGGCAAAGACCAAGAGUUAUUUCUCUUCAUUGCAUUUGCAGGUUUAUUCAAUGGUUUGCAAGUCAGUUACAUCAGAUUAAAUGAUGUCAUUGAUGUGACAAUCAGUGUCAGUGACAUCAAAUGCUUGCUCGGAGAUGGUGUUACCACUGGGCUUACAGUGUUGACUGAUAAGUCCCUCAUACGUAUAACACCGCACGAAACUAUAGAGAUGCACAAUUCGCUACAGAAGUUGGCUAGAGAAAUUGGUCGUGCAGAGUCUAUAAACAAUCCUGGAAAACGACGAUAUCUGGUGGAUGUUGAGGACAUUUGCGAUGUUUUUACGGAUAAAACCGUAAGUUUUCUCGCAUAUGCUUUUAAUGCUCGGCUUUAUAAAAUUUAAGCGUUAUUUGGUGAUUGAUAGAUAAACUUUUACGAUUGUUCCCACCUGCUUUAUUUGAGCGCGGGGCUCAGAUGUCAUAAGGAGAAAAAAAAAAUCUCGCCUGCCAUAAAUCAUUGUGUAUUGACGUUUUUAGCCUUAAUGAACUGAUUAUAAAAUUAAAUAAAAUCGUUUAUUUUUAAAAAUAAAAAUAAAAGCUGCAAAUAAGCUUCUUCUUCCCCGAGUUAGGUUUCCGUACACAUCCGCCGCCGCCGCAGAGAGCUUGAUUCGAACCACCGUCGUUUGCUGGUGCCGGCUCAUUUUUUUUGUUUAACUACUCUUUCUUAUCCUGCCAUUUGUGUGAGAAGACUUCGAAAAGGUAUGGUGGUGUGUAUUUUGGAGAUUUAUAAAUUAGAGUUUUUUUUUGUUUGUUUGGUGGUCGUUUAACUAUGUACAUUGCCUAAGUUUGUUGUUUAUUGGUUAAGUUCUCUUCGAAUCGAUGUUAAUUUGUCGAUUUUUAGUGUUGAAUCUGUUUGGUAGAUGUGAAACGAGGAUGUGAAACCAAAGAUUUUAGCCAAGAAAGUUUGGGAAUUUAGAUAACUGGUACAAAAGGUAUAAGUAAAAGAUACGGGACAAGUAGUACAAAUGGUAGAACUGAUAAUUAUGGGACAACUAGUACAAGUCUCUGUUAAGACUGAUAAUGUGGGACAACUAGUACAAAUGUUAUAGUGAGAAAUUCGGGACAACUAGUAUAAAAGGUAUAACUGUGAAACGUAAUUGGUAAUAUUAUUUUUUAUUUGCUGCGUAUACCAGGAUAUAAUGAGCAUUGGCCACACCAACAUAAAUUUUGAGUAUGGAGGAUAUUAUUCACGGAACAAACGACCAACAGGUGUAACCCAGGAGUUUAGUUCAGGAACAAACGACCAACAGGUGUAACCCACGAAGAACUGGACAACUGUGUUUUUUUCAUCUAAUCAUGUUUUAGGACAUCUAGACAGCUAUGUACGUAUGUUGUCAUUUUCAUUUUUUUCAUAUGUUUAGAUAUCGGGAAAACUGGACAACUAUUACAACUAUGUUGUAUUUGUGAAGUACAAUUGACGUUUCAUAUGUUUGAAAUUGGGACAACUGGACAACUAGUACAAUUAUGUUGUAUUUGUGAGGUACAAUUGACGAAUCAUAUGUUUGAAAUUGGGACAACUGGACAACUAGUACAACUAUGUUGUAUUUGUGAGGUACAAUUGACGAAUCAUAUGUUUGAAAUUGGGACAACUGGACAACUAGUACAACUAUGUUGUAAUCAUAUGUUUGAAAUUGGGACAACUAGACAACUAGUACAACUAUGUUGUAUUUGUGAUGUACAAUUGACGAAUCAUAUGUUUGAAAUUGGGAUAACUGGACAACUAGUACAACUAUGUUGUAUUUGUGAUGUACAAUUGACGAAUCAUAUGUUUGAAAUUGGGACAACUAGUACAACUAUGUUGUAUUUUUGAUGUACAAGUGACGAAUCAUUUGUUGGAAAUUGGGACAACUGGACAACUAGUACAACUAUGUUGGAUUUGUGAUGUACAAUUGACGUUUCAUAUGUAUGAAAUUGGGGUUUAGUACAAACCCUAGACAACUAUGAAAGACAUCUAAAAUGAGGUUUUAAAGAAGCUUCAGAAAAUGGGAUAACAAAUUAUAAGUUUAGAGUCAUAAUAUUGGUUUGACACUAAACACUCCUUAUAAAACAAGAGAGUCUUCACUAAUACUCAUCACAUGAUGAUGGAUAAAUGCAAAUGUUUGGAUUUAAUCAAAACGGAUUAAUCAGGACUUUUUAAUUGUGGUAUGAAACUUCAAACAAAUAUGAACAACUACAAUAUGUGGUAUAUGGUCAUGGGUCAACUGGAAAUAUUUGAAAAAGCUUAAAGUACAACUCUUACAAAUAUUGGACAACAAUACAAGUACGUACAACUAUAUGAUAACCCUUAUCAUAUUAUAUUUGCACGUGAAGCACAUGUGUUUACUAUGGCGGCAAAAUAAUUAAAUAGUUUUUAAAAUCUCUUUUCUUUAAAUUGUUCUUCCUCAUAUUCUACUGAGAACUUCCUCCUUUUUUAGGGUUUCAGCCGCAGAGCAAUUUCACAAGAUUAAGAUAAUGUCGAAGAAGAAAUCUUCCUAAAAAAGACUGCCUUUCCGCCGAAGGAUUACGGCAUGACCACCAGGUGGGGGCCCGAAGUUAAUGGAGUCCGCACCAUUCUUCCAUGUCCCAUACAGAUGGGAAUUCCCAAGGUUUGCCACCACGGAAUUGCUCCAAUUGGCUGUUUAACCAACCAUUCAGCGUUAGAUAGGGGACGUAGGUACUUUGGUUGUUUUUAUGGUUGCCAUAGUUGAAGAGAUUAAAAUGGUAAAAGAAACUCAAGAGGAGAUGAAGUCUUUGUUUGAUGUCAUUAUCUCGAGAAUUGAAGCUCUUGAGGCUGCUGUGACCAAGAAGAGUUGCUCGAAGGAAGUUUGAAGCUCAAGAUCGUUUGUUGAACCUUGUCCUACAUCGUUGUCUUUGUUUCUUGAACCUUGUUGUCCUUUAUUGUCCUACAUCGUUUAACUAUGUUGUCCUUUAUUGAACUACAUUGUUAUCCUUUACUGAACUACUUUGUUGAACCUUGUUGUCCUUUAUUGUACUAAUUUGUUGAACCUUGUUGUCUUUUAUUGUCCUACAUCGUUUAACUUUGUUGUCCUGUAUUGAACUAUUUUGUUGAACCUUGUUGUCCUUUAUUGUCCUACACCGUUUAACCUUGUUGUUCUUUAUUGUCCUAAAUCCCAAAGAAUUGACCAUUAUUGUCCUAAUAUGUCCCAAAUCCAAACAAAUGUCCAAAUUCGAAUAUCAAACAUAAAAUCCACAACAUAAACUAAACAUCCGCAAACAACAUAACCUGUAACUUAAAAGAAAAACAUAACAUCCAGAAAACAAGAUAAACUGCAACAUCCGACACUUCUACUUCGAUAACAUCCAGUCUUCUGCUCUUGUUCUUCACCCUCCUGCUCUUGUUCUUCAGCCUCAUCCUCUUUUUCAUCAGCCUCCUGCUCUUGUUCUUCGGCCUCCUGCUCUUCUUCUUCAGCCUCAUCAUUUCCCUCCUCUUGUUCAUCAGCCUCUUCAUUUCUCGAAUCUUGUUCAUCACCCUCCUCCUUUCCCUCCUCUUCUUCAUCACCCUCCUCCUUUCCCUCCUCUUCUUCUUCACCCUCCUUUCCCUCCUCUUCUUCUUUGCCCUCCUCCUUUCCAUCGUCUGCUUCAUCACCCUCAGCCUCGUCUUCUUCUUCCAUGGGGUUUAUCGUUUCGGUUUCAUCUUCUGUGGGGAUUUUUUGGGCUGCGGUCUCCUCGAUAGGAUUCGGAGAGGUUUCUUUCUCCAUUUCUGUUUCUGAACUACAAACAUCUUCGCUUGUCUUUGUCGCGGCUUCGGUGGGAAUAGGGUUUACAACGGCUUGAGGAAUAUUUCCUUUCUCUUUAUCGGCGGCUUCAGGAUUUACUUCAGAUUCUCUCGCUGCGGCUUGAGAAUGCGAUUCCGUUUUAGGCAACGUUUUCCGACUUUCAGUUGACUCAUACUCGACGCCUUUUUGUUUCACACGAGUCAUGGAGAAGUCGUAACGAACCGAAGAUGGAGAAAUCGAUUAAAACGGAAGUUGUAGAUGGUGGAGUGGAAAUAAAACGAACGCAAUCGGUUAGCUUCUAUCAACACUCGCCGGAUUUUACGCCGGAAAACUCUCUCAAAUCUUUUUUCGAAUUUCAAUUAACUGUGUGGAGGUUUUUUUCCAAGAACUGAUAAAAUGGUAAAGUAAAUUAGGGUAAAUAAAAAGAAAUGCGAGUCGAAUCCGAUUUUAAUUGGGUAGGUUUUCAAAUGCCCAGAUAUUGUUGUAAUUAACGAGACAUUCAUGUAUAAGGUAAUAAACAACCAUCUUUUUGCUAUUUAAAAAAAAUUAAAAAGGAAUUGAUUAUACGAACGAUGGCAUUGGGGCUCUUUCUUCAGCGAUUUAUGGCAUUUUAGCAUUUGAUUCGCUUUAUUUUAACACUGUUACAAUUGUUUUUUUUUUCCUGUUAACUAACAGUUACAAUUGUUAAGAUAAUAGUUUUCGUGUGAUUUUUUUUUUCAGGGCACAGAAGCUGUAGUAGGAAUAUAUUUCGACACAUUAGAAAUCAAAGAGCCAUUUUCAAUAGAUGAAAAAUCGUUCGAAGGCAUGCGUAAUCUCCAAUUUCUAAUAGUUCGAGGGUCUCCACGGGGUAGAUUGCGUCUACCUCAAGACCUCGUUUAUUUACCCCGUAAACUCAUAUUGCUAAAGUGGGAUGGUUAUCCAUCCAAGUGUUUGCCUUGAACUCAGAAUGGAGAAUAGUUUGCUUGAGAAGCUGUGGGAAGGAAUUCAGGUACUAUAGUUUUAAAUUUAUUUCUAAGUUUCAUACGGUGUUACUAUUAGAACAAAUAACGGUCUUAUUUUUCUAUAUAUAUUGUUGUUAAAAGUUUAUAGAAUAUGUGUUCAAAAUGAUUUUGAACCUGUGCAUUUAUUUUUAUUUUCCUGUUUGUUUUCAGCCACUUGGAAGCCUCAAGCAAUUGAUUAUGAAUUGGUCCACAUAUUUGAGAGAACUUCCAGAUCUCUCUAAGGCCAUAAACCUCGAGAAAGUGUAUCUUGAUGGAUGCAAAUCUUUGGUGACAUUUCCUUCCUCGAUUCAGAAUCUCCUGAAACUGAGAGAUUUACAUUUGGAAAAUUGCACAGAGCUAGAAAGUUUUCCAACUCUUGUCAACUUGAAAUCUCUCGAGUACCUCAAUCUCCGAGGAUGCUCCCGGUUGAGAAAUUUCCCUCAGAUUUAUAUGGACAGUUCACAUGGAAUUAGCAUCGAAGUAAAAGACUGUUUCUGGAACAACAAUCUCCCUGGACCCGAUUAUCUCGGUGGCCUUAUGAGAUGUAUGCCUUGUAAAUAUCGACCAGAACAUCUCGUUCGUCUUACAGUGAAAGGCAACAUGCUUGAGAAGCUAUGGGAAGGCGUCCAGGUACAUUGUUAAUGUUUGAAUGUCAUAUGAUUGAAACAUAACAAAAUGUUUGGUUGUUCUGUUUCAGUCGCUUGGAAGUCUCGUGAGGAUGAAUCUGUCAGGAUCUGUAAACCUGAAUGAAUUUCCAGAUCUUUCAAAGGCCACCAAUCUGGAGCGUUUAGAACUCAACUAUUGCCAUAAUUUGGUGACUGUUCCUUGUACAAUUGAGAAUCUCAAGAAAUUGGUAAAGUUGGAAAUGAAAGGAUGCAUAAGGCUGGAGGCUCUUCCAACCGAUGUCAACUUGUCAUCUCUCGAAACCCUCGAUCUCAGUUGGUGCUCAAGUUUGACAAGUUUUCCUCAAAUUUCAUGGAGUGUGAAAAAACUCUAUCUAAAUGACACUGCCAUUGAACAAGUUCCCUGCUGUAUAGAGAAAUUCUGGAGGCUCCUUGAACUAACGAUGUGUCGUUGCAAGAGGUUGAAAAACAUCUCCCCAAACAUUUUCAGUCUGAGCCGUCUUGUGAAGGCAGACUUUUCAGACUGUGAAGGAGUAGAGACGGCAUUGAGUGAUGCAACUCCAGUGGCAACAAUGUCAACGGAGGAUCAAAUUCCUUCUAUACCAUUACACACAAAUGCCUAUAGAAGGGAAUAUUUUGAGUUCAAUAAUUGCUUCAAAUUGGAUAGAAAUGCGCGGGCACUCAUCCUACGAUCAUACGUGGCGCCUACAGUCUUACCAGGUGAAGAAGUGCCUGCGUAUUUCACGGAACAAGCUUCUGGAACUACCGUAGCUGUCAAGUUACCUCAGAGCUUUCUUUCUCAAGAACACCUCGCAAUUAAGGCUUGCGUCGUGGUCGGCAAGGGUUCGCAUUCAUACUUAGGGUUACGCUGGCACUUCAGAGGCGAAGAGCAUUGGGACACAAUAUUUGAAAAUCUGCCGGGGUCUUUUAAGAGGGAUCAUCUGGUUUUGCUUUCCUUCAAGUUCCGGCCUUCACUUCGUUUGGGUUUGAGUGACUUGAGUCCAACUAAUUUUCACUUCGACGAUGUUGAGUUUGAGUCUUCCACCAUCAACCCAUCCUCUGGCACCUUCUCACCGUCGGUCCAGAGGAUAACAGGAUGUGGUAUAAGAUUCUUGAAUCGGUCUACUACACGUCGUCGUCUAUCUAAAUUGGACUACUACUACAACGAUGUUGUCUCUGAGUUCUUCUUCAACCGAACAUUAAGAGAGGAUGCUGAGUACUUCUCUGGAAGAUGAAUCUGAUGAUGGAAGCUCUGGAACAGAGUACAACCAAAAAUCUAUACAAAGUUGUUAUCAAGAAAACAAUCUGUACAAAAUGUGAUGUUGUAGGGAUUGUGAGAAGAAAGAACGGAUGCGGGUAAAGCUUUUUGAACUCAAAAUUAUAAGGGUAUCUCUUGAUCUUUUUUUUCAGGAUCAAUAUCAUAGGUCCAUAGGGAUGAACUAUUUAAUAGACUAGAUCGUUUGGUUUUAUUAUGUAGAUUACAUUAAAAGAAUACAUGUGGGAUGUGGCGAUAAAGUAGCGGACACAGGUAUUGACGCCUCCAAAUAUAGAAUUUCUUCUACAAGUAAGAUACCGUUAGUUUCUUCUAGCAACUUUCAUGUCCAUGGAGCAUCCCUGUAUCUAUCCCUUUCUCCUUCUAUUCCAUGUCUGGAGGGGCAAGUUUUGUCUGUUGAUCCCCGAGAUAACUGAACAACUAGAUAUAUACAGAAACACUCACCGUGGAUCCUUUGUCGCACCCAGAGCUUACCAACUUUUUUUUACGGUAAGUGAAACAUCUUACAGUUCUGUUUUGUUCUAUAACAUCUUGCGAAUUGCGAUCGACCGUGGCUAUGCUGAUCUUGCCAAGACGUUUUCGUAGUUUUUUACGCAAUCCAUUUUUCCCUGCAGGUGAUGGUGAACUUCUCGAGAACCAGAACCUGUUUACGCACUCUAUUCUUACUUCUUUGUGUUACUGUUUCCCUCUUUGAGAAUUUCGCUUUUCAUGAAAGAAUAAACAUCUUUCAAAUAGCCACAAUUCAGCACAUUCUGGAAAAUUUUCUUUAGCAGGUUUUGUUUUGUACCAUAAAUCUAUCGGUUUUUAGUUGGAAAUUCGUUGAAUUUGUGAGCUUGGGUUUUACAUACUUGACUCGGGUAGUUUUUCUUUCCUUCUAACAAAGCAAUGAAUAAAUCAGGAUUUGGCCAAACUAAAAAUGUAUAAAAAAAAAUUCACUAGUUCUAAAUGGCAAGACCCUCUUCAUCAUCAGCAACAUUUGGAUCGCUGUUUCCAUGACGUUUCCUACACUCGCAGUAAAAAACAGUGACUACAACAUAACUCAGCACCACCUCAGCACCAUACAUACAAAUCAACUUCCACCCGUCUAAGCCACCGCUCACCACCACCGACCUCCACCACGACCCUGAGCUCGAGUCUACAUCUAGCUCCUUGGCCAGCUUCUCCAUCCCAUGACCAAUGAAACUCGAAAGAAACACAAAUACACCCGCCAAAGCCAAUCCAGUUAUCCUCCUCCCUUUCAUCAGAGAAUUUCCUUCCUUAAUCGCAUCAAAACCGUAUCUUUCUUCUAUCACAGAGACGACAAGGCCAAGCCCUGUUAUAGCCAUUAUGUAUACCUCAACGCCGAGACUGAGAACCGUGAUGAGGUAACGCAAUGUGGGUGUAUAACCCAAGAGAGCUGAUAGAAACAUGGGAAUCGGAGAGUAGAGGAAGAGCAGACCAUAGACAACAAUGGAAGUUGCAGUUACUCGCAUCCACGAGGACUUCACUGAUGCAAACGAUGACUUCAGAGACGUGUUUAGGCCGUUGUGUGAGAAGGAAGUUGAUGUGAUGACGGUUAUGGAUGCGAUACAGGAGAGGAUGAAGGACGGGACGAAAUAUCUGGAUUUGAGGUGUAGAAGCGAGACAGCGUCUUCUCUAGACUCUUGCCAGAUCUGUCUAGCUUCGAACCUUGUGUGCACGACGUUGGCCAGGGCUUCUAGACGGAAGACAUGGUUUUUAAGACGAAAGGAGGAGAGAGUUAGGGAGAGGUGUAAGGCUGCGAGAGGGAUUGCUACAAAGGCAAAGACUGGGAAUAAUAUGUGUUUGUUUCUCAAGAGAAUCAUGAAGGAGUCUAGGAGUGUUGUGGUGAUCCGCGUGGAAGAACCAGGUCGCUUUACUUCAAUCAUGAUAUCAAAAGGCACAUAGAAGCCUGCUGCUUAAAGCUUCAACCAAUGUUGGGACAACUCGAAACAGAGUAGAUACACUAUGCUUCUAGAGAAUGUCUUGUAUGAGGCCUGUGUAAACAAGAAAGCACAAAGCUUUUAGCAACUCAGAGAAUCAAUACAAGACUAAGUGCAUUGCAAAACCACAGUUUUCUCAGCAAAAAGAAUCACACUUAUCAGGUGGAAAUCACAGUUCCAUAUGAAAGAAUGACACUUUUAGCGAUUAUUCUAAUGACACUUAAACAAGGUUUGGUUCAAACAACAACUCCAGAGAUCAUACAUAGUUGACCGAAAUGUUAAGACUUUUUCUACACACCCCGGAGUUUUCGGAGUUCCAACAAGUUCGAGUUCAUUGAAGAAUAUAAACCAUAAUAUGAGUACGAAUUGAUGCUAUGUCGUCAAAUUAGAUCAAAUUCUGUGAUCUUGUGGACCAAACGUGUAUGAAGAAAUCAAACAAUCGACCGAGAUCAACUAGAAAUAACGAAUCCAGAACUAGAUUCUAUUUCCCAAACAACAGUCUCUAGAAAAAGGGUGAAUUUCGAUUCCCGAUCUAAAACUUGACGACUAAAUCCCAACUUUUAACAUUAGAACGGAAACAAUUAGGUUUAAUCCAAUCUUUUUUGCUUGAUUACGGUCUAUCUGAGAUCGAGACAAACCUGAAAGAUGCGAAAACACCGAUUGGUGUAAGAGGAAAUCCGAAGAAGUAUUGCUUGGAAGGAGAAUUCAUUGAUUUGAGAGACAGAACAAGUCAAUAAGCUUUGGGUUUUAAAGUUUAACCACUGUUUUAUAACUCAGUAAUUCUGUCCUUUGCGAAAAAAAAAGAAAAAAAAAACUCAGUAAUUCUGUCCUGAUUUGGGACAAUUUUGGAUGCCAAUUGCUUUUAUAAUGUUUUCGACCAAUAGAGUUACUUUACU
RNAcentral lists this long non-coding RNA (17278 nucleotides) under Eutrema salsugineum. RNAcentral describes it as "long non-coding RNA (ESAL_LNC002135)". The record is from RNAcentral. Lineage: Eukaryota; Viridiplantae; Streptophyta; Magnoliopsida; Brassicales; Brassicaceae.